Molecule: ribosomal RNA, 253 nt
Filed under: uncultured bacterium
Lineage: Bacteria
Description: partial 16S ribosomal RNA
Rfam family: Bacterial small subunit ribosomal RNA
Source: RNAcentral
GACGUAGGGCGCGAGCGUUGUCCGGAUUUAUUGGGCGUAAAGAGCUCGUAGGCGGUCUGUUGCGUCCGCUGUGAAAACUCGGGGCUUAACCCCGAGCCUGCAGUGGAUACGGGCAGACUAGAGGUAGGUAGGGGAGAAUGGAAUUCCCGGUGUAACGGUGAAAUGCGCAGAUAUCAGGAGGAACACCGAUGGCGAAGGCGGGUUGCUGGGCCAACACUGACGCUGAGGCGCGAAAGCCAGGGGAGCAAACGGG